Ribosomal RNA from Colobus angolensis palliatus, 111 nucleotides. Lineage: Eukaryota; Metazoa; Chordata; Mammalia; Primates; Cercopithecidae. The record is from Ensembl.
AUCUAUGGCCAUACCACCCUGAAUGUGCCUGAUCUUGUCUGAUCUCAGAAGCUAAGCAGAGUCAGGUCUAGUUAGUACUUGAAUGGUAAAAUGACUCCACCUCCUUGUGUU